UCAUAGGAGUGUAAGACAAAAAGUAUUUCUUUUGUUGUUAAGAAUUUUCUCAUUUUCAGCCAUGAGACUCAGUGUCAUGUUAAUGGUUUCUUGUGUUCUCACAUUUCUCAUUUUAAAUAAUGGUAAAGUUGAGGUGGAAGCCGGCAUGAGAAAACUUGGCUGCGAAACAUUACCAAGCAAUUAUCUUGGAACAUGCGGAAAAAAUGGAAUUAAUUUAUGUGUAGAUGACGUAAAAAAAAUGAUUGUCAAAAAUACUGGAAAAGCUGUGCCAAAAGGUUAUGGAGUACGUUGUGACAAAUGUAUUGAUGAAGCUCCCAAGCCAGGUUAUGCUCGCAUGCAUAAAUGUGUAUGUCGAUAUGAUUGCUAAAUUUAAAAAUAUCUAUAUAAGCAUAACCUCUUUACUAAUAAA
Brassica oleracea var. oleracea is the source of this 409-nucleotide long non-coding RNA. RefSeq lists it as uncharacterized. The transcript is spliced from 2 exons. NCBI's taxonomy places the organism in Eukaryota, Viridiplantae, Streptophyta, Magnoliopsida, Brassicales, Brassicaceae. The record is from RefSeq and is a predicted model, not a curated record.